Long non-coding RNA from Homo sapiens (human), 894 nucleotides. RefSeq lists it as uncharacterized. Lineage: Eukaryota; Metazoa; Chordata; Mammalia; Primates; Hominidae. The record is from RefSeq and is a predicted model, not a curated record. The transcript is spliced from 2 exons.
AGAUUAUUUAGGUGUGAGCCACAGCACCCGGCCCAGACAUUGUUUGAAGCCACCCAUUUCAUGGUUCUUUGCUGCAGUGGUUGUGGAAUAUGAAUGCACUCGUGCUGUUGGUUAGACUUUGCUGACCUUGUGUCUGUUAUUCCCUGGCAGUUCUACAAGGCCUGGAGCAGAUACGAAAAACCUCCCUUCUUUGCCAAAUGGUCCCCAGCUUCCCCAUUCACUGAAGGCCCUGCGGUCAGGAACAGUCAGGACUUUGCACCCAGUUGUUGUGAGUGUUGGCCGACCCUUCCUCUUGUGUGAUUCAUGGACCCUUAGCAUUGCAUCACCUGGGAGCUUUUGGAAUUGAAGACUCUCAGCGCUCACCGGAAGGACCUCCUGGGCCAGAAUCUGCAUUUUAACAAGAUGCCCAGGGCUUCUCAACCAGGGGGUGAUUUUGCCCCCAAGAGAACAUGUGGCCAUGUCUGGAGACAAUUUUGGUUGUUGCAGCUGGAGGAGGUGGUGCUACUGGCAGCUAAUAGGUAGAGGCCACGGAUGCUGCUAAACAUCCUACAAUGCUCCGGACAACUCCCACUAAGACAAAAGAAUGAUCCAGCCCCAAAUGUCAAUAGUGCUGAAAGUGAGAGACCCUGAUUCCAUCUUAGAGAUCAUCCAAGCACACUUGGCCAAAUAGUUUUUGCUACUAUCCCAUGAAGAAAAGGCAGACUCAUGACUGAUGGCAACGUCGAUGGGAAUUUUGUUUACUUCUUCUUUGUGGACUUUGGGAUACGAUGACUUACCAUUUGUGCAAGUUGUGCAUUGCAUACCUCCAGGGGGCGCCACCCACAUAUUUAUGAAAAUGCCACCCCAGGAAUUGCACAGUACAUAGUCUACAUGGCAAUAAACAGUUGCUCUGGU